Molecule: ribosomal RNA, 577 nt
Filed under: Debaryomyces hansenii
Lineage: Eukaryota; Fungi; Ascomycota; Pichiomycetes; Serinales; Debaryomycetaceae
Description: eukaryotic LSU rRNA
Rfam family: 5.8S ribosomal RNA (bases 211-364)
Source: RNAcentral
AAGGAUCAUUACAGUAUUCUUUUUGCCAGCGCUUAAUUGCGCGGCGAAAAAACCUUACACACAGUGUUUUUUGUUAUUACAAGAACUUUUGCUUUGGUCUGGACUAGAAAUAGUUUGGGCCAGAGGUUUACUGAACUAAACUUCAAUAUUUAUAUUGAAUUGUUAUUUAUUUAAUUGUCAAUUUGUUGAUUAAAUUCAAAAAAUCUUCAAAACUUUCAACAACGGAUCUCUUGGUUCUCGCAUCGAUGAAGAACGCAGCGAAAUGCGAUAAGUAAUAUGAAUUGCAGAUUUUCGUGAAUCAUCGAAUCUUUGAACGCACAUUGCGCCCUUUGGUAUUCCAGAGGGCAUGCCUGUUUGAGCGUCAUUUCUCUCUCAAACCUUCGGGUUUGGUAUUGAGUGAUACUCUUAGUCGAACUAGGCGUUUGCUUGAAAUGUAUUGGCAUGAGUGGUACUGGAUAGUGCUAUAUGACUUUCAAUGUAUUAGGUUUAUCCAACUCGUUGAAUAGUUUAAUGGUAUAUUUCUCGGUAUUCUAGGCUCGGCCUUACAAUAUAACAAACAAGUUUGACCUCAAAUCAG